RNAcentral lists this ribosomal RNA (3858 nucleotides) under Pyrococcus horikoshii OT3. RNAcentral's name for it is "bacterial LSU rRNA". The stretch from base 1 to 3022 matches the Rfam family "Archaeal large subunit ribosomal RNA". Lineage: Archaea; Methanobacteriati; Methanobacteriota; Thermococci; Thermococcales; Thermococcaceae. The record is from RNAcentral.
AUGGCUCGGCUCGGGGCGCCGACGAAGGGCGUGGCAAGCUGCGAUAAGCCCCGGCGAGGCGCAGGCAGCCGUCGAACCGGGGAUUCCCGAAUGGGACCUCCCGCGGCUUAUGCCGCACUCCGGGGUUUAUCCCCGGAGGGGGAACGCGGGGAAUUGAAACAUCUUAGUACCCGCAGGAAAAGAAAGCAAAAGCGAUGCCGUGAGUAGGGGCGACCGAAAACGGCAGAGGGCAAACUGAACCCCGGACCGACGAGGUUCGGGGGAUGUGGGGUUGUAGGGCCCCCGUAUGAGACCCUCGCGGGUGAAGCCGAAGUCCGCUGGAACGCGGCGCCGGAGAGGGUGAUAGCCCCGUAGGCGUAAGCCCGCAGGGUCUCGGGGGACCCUGAGUACCGUCGGUUGGAUAUCCGGCGGGAAGCUGGGAGGCAUCGGCUCCCAACCCUAAAUACGUCCCGAGACCGAUAGCGAACUAGUACCGUGAGGGAAAGCUGAAAAGCACCCCGGGAGGGGGGUGAAAAGAGCCUGAAACCGGGCGGCGAUAGGAGGGUGCGGCCCGAAAGGAAUGAGCCUCCCCGAAGGAAACCGCGGCGACGCGGGAGUACGAGGGGAGGGGACCGGGGUUGCACCGUCCGUCUUGAAACACGGGGCAGGGAGUUCGCGGCCGUGGCGAGGUUAAGGGGGUUAAGCCCCGUAGCCGCAGGGAAACCGACAUGCCCGCAGCCGGGCUUAUGCCCGGUGAGGGGCGGGGUGCGAAAGCGCCCGGAGUCACGGCCGCGAGACCCGAAACCGGUCGAUCUAGCCCGGGGCAGGGUGAAGUCCCUCAACAGAGGGAUGGAGGCCCGCUAGGGGUGCUGAUGUGCAGUUCGCUCCCGUGACCCCGGGCUAGGGGUGAAAGGCCAAUCGAGGCCGGAGAUAGCUGGUUCCCGCCGAAUCAUCCCGCAGGAUGGCCUCCCCGGAGGUAGGCGGUGGGGUAGAGCACUGAUUGGAGGUGCAGGGGGCGAAAGCCCCCGGCCUCCUGUCAAACUCCGAACCCACCGCCGCCGUAGAUGGGGGGAGUAGGGUGGCGGUGUAAGCCGUCCACCGAGAGGGGAACAACCCAGACCGGGGUUAAGGCCCCAAAGUGCCGGCUAAGUGUUACUCCAAAGGGUGUCCCGGGCCUUAGACAGCGGGGAGGUAGGCUUAGAAGCAGCCAUCCUUUAAAGAGUGCGUAACAGCUCACCCGUCGAGGUCCGGGGCCCCGAAAAUGGACGGGGCUCAAGCCGGCCGCCGAGACCCCGGCGCACGGACCGAUUGGUCCGUGAUCGGGUAGGCGGGCGUGCCGGUGGCGUAGAAGCCGGGCCGUAAGGUCCGGUGGAGCCGCCGGUAUCGCGGAUCCUGCCGGGAGUAGCAGCGUAGUCGGGUGAGAAUCCCGACCGCCGGAGGGGCCAGGGUUCCACGGCAAUGGUCGUCAGCCGUGGGUUAGUCGGUCCUAACCCCGCCCGUAACUCGGCGCGGGGGAAAGGGAAACGGGUUUAUAUUCCCGUACCGCGGGGGUAGGUGCGGCAACGCAAGCCCGGAGGGUGACGCCUCGGGGUAGGCGGACCGGCCGAUGAGGCCGGCUAAGCGUAUAAGCCCGGGGAGUGCCGUAAUGGCGAGAACCGGGUGAAAGCGCGAAUGGCCCCCCGUUAGGGGGGUUCCGCCGAUCCCUGGGGCCCGUGAAAAGCCCUCCGGGAAUUCCGAUCCCCCGCGACCGUACCGAGAACCGACACAGGUGCCCCUGGGUGAGAAGCCUAAGGCGUGUCGGGGGAAACCCGGCCGAGGGAACUCGGCAAACUGGCCCCGUAACUUCGGGAGAAGGGGUGCCUGCGGGUGCGUAACCCGCAGGUCGCAGUGACUAGGGGGGCCCGACUGUUUAAUAAAAACACAGGUCCCAGCUAGCCCGAAAGGGUUUGUACUGGGGCCGACGCCUGCCCAGUGCCGGUAUGUGAAGCCCGGGUACAACCGGGUGAAGCACCGGUAAACGGCGGGGGUAACUAUAACCCUCUUAAGGUAGCGAAAUUCCUUGUCGGUUAAAUGCCGACCUGCAUGAAUGGCGUAACGAGGUCCCCGCUGUCCCCGGCCGGGGCCCGGCGAAACCUCUGCCUGGCGCGCAUGCCAGGGACCCCCGGUGGGAAGCGAAGACCCCAUGGAGCUUUACUGCAGCCUGCCGUUGCCACGCGGCGAGGGGUGCGCAGCGUAGGCGGGAGGCGUCGAAGCCCGGCCUCCGGGUCGGGUGGAGCCGUCCAUGAGACACCGCCCACUCCUCGCCGCGUGGCUAACCCCCGAAAGGGGGGACAGCGGUAGGUGGGCAGUUUGGCUGGGGCGGCACGCCCCCGAAAAGGUAUCGGGGGCGCCCUAAGGUCGGCUCAGGCGGGUCAGGAAUCCGCCGUAGAGUGCAAGGGCAAAAGCCGGCCUGACUGGACCCGUAACAGAGGCGGGUCCAGCCCCGAAAGGGUGGCCUAGCGAACCCCUGUGCCUCCCCGGUGGGGGCCAGGGAUGACAGAAAAGCUACCCUGGGGAUAACAGAGUCGUCUCGGGCGAGAGCCCAUAUCGACCCCGAGGCUUGCUACCUCGCUGUCGGCUCUCCCCAUCCUGGCCCUGCAGCAGGGGCCAAGGGUGGGGGUGUUCACCCAUUAAAGGGGAACGUGAGCUGGGUUUAGACCGUCGUGAGACAGGUCGGAUGCUAUCUACCGGGGGUGUUGGCCGCCUGAGGGGAAGGUGCCCUUAGUACGAGAGGAACAGGGCGCCGCGGCCUCUGGUCUACCGGUUGUCCUCCCGGGCAUAGCCGGGCAGCUACGCCGCAGCCGAUAAGGCCUGAAGGCAUCUAAGGCCGAAGCGGCCCCCGAAAAUAGGCGGCCGUUCCCUGGCAUUUGGGCCUGGGUGACCGGCCCGUAGCCAGGGACGAGGGCUCGGGUAGAAGACCCGGUUGAUGGGGCGGGGAUGUAAGCGGGAAGGGUCAACCGACCCGCUUAGUCUGCCGCUCCCAAUCGCCCGAGGUCCUGUCCCCCGAAGGAGGGGCCAGGCACUUGACAGGCCACCCGCCUAUGCACGGCCCUCGAAACCAUUAAAUAUUCUGUUCUUGAGAUUUUACCUGGUGGUAACAUGGGAAUUCUUGAGAAGCUUCAUCGUUUUCCUCCAAGGUACGGUCCAGAAUGGGGAAGUGGGGGAAUUUUUGGUUUAAGGUACCACAACGAAACCCUAUACUUUACCUUGGCAUUUGAAGGUGAAGCCCAUUUCAUUACCAACGAUUCUCAUGAUGUUUAUGAGUUCCAACUCGUGGGACCGAGACCGACGUCUGGAGGGGACACCUACAAUGCCGUAGAGGUUGUCGACGAGUUCAUUUACUUUGGAGGUUGGGUUCAUGCUCCAGCAAAAUUCAGGGGAAAGGAAAGUGGCCAAGCUACAAUUGAUUUCUCAAACAAGUACUCUCACGUUCACGAAUAUGACACCUUAACCGGAAGGGUAAGGUUGGUUUGGAAAGAAUCAAUUCAUCAUCCUGAAAAGUGGUGUGGUGAGGUGAGCGAGAUCCUUUAUAAUCCCUAUACGGAUGAGCUACUUCUCGCUAGAGAAGAUGGCCAUGAGAAUCUUGGAGUUUACUCCCUGGAUAGGAGGAGGGGAGGUAUUAGAAGAUUAAGUGAUAAACCUAGCCCUAAGGGUACUCAAGUUCAUGACGUUGCCUUCUUUGGGGUUGGAAAGAAUUAUACCCAAGGGCUAAGAGAGAUCCAUGCUCUAGAUAUGGUGAGCGAGAAGUGGGAUGCGUUUGGGCUUGGUGAAAGCCUUGAUGGGGAAAGAUAUUUGGCUCCUCAUUUGGGUGCAAUGGCCUCUAUAAAUAACAGGGCUUUU